Non-coding RNA from Xylaria castorea, 84 nucleotides. NCBI's taxonomy places the organism in Eukaryota, Fungi, Ascomycota, Sordariomycetes, Xylariales, Xylariaceae. The record is from the annotation of a GenBank genome assembly.
UCCGAAUUGGUGUAGUGGCCAACAUUUGACGCUCUCAUUAUGCAGACAACCGUCAAGCCCGGGGUUCGAUUCCCCGAUUCGGAG